UACGGAGGGUGCGAGCGUUAAUCGGAAUUACUGGGCGUAAAGCGCGCGUAGGCGGUUUGAUAAGUCUGAUGUGAAAGCCCUGGGCUUAACCUGGGAAUGGCAUUGGAUACUGUCGGACUCGAGUGUGGUAGAGGGUAGUGGAAUUUCCGGUGUAGCAGUGAAAUGCGUAGAGAUCGGAAGGAACACCAGUGGCGAAGGCGGCUACCUGGACCAACACUGACGCUGAGGUGCGAAAGCGUGGGGAG
RNAcentral lists this ribosomal RNA (245 nucleotides) under uncultured Methylococcus sp. Its description in RNAcentral is "partial 16S ribosomal RNA". It matches the Rfam family "Bacterial small subunit ribosomal RNA", at positions 524 to 768 of the family's 1533-position model. The record is from RNAcentral. Lineage: Bacteria; Pseudomonadati; Pseudomonadota; Gammaproteobacteria; Methylococcales; Methylococcaceae.